GCAUAUCAAUAAGCGGAGGAAAAGAAACCAACAGGGAUUGCCCCAGUAACGGCGAGUGAAGCGGCAACAGCUCAAAUUUGAAAUCUGGUCCCCUUUGGGGGCCCGAGUUGUAAUUUGAAGAGGAUGCUUUUGGCGAGGCGCCGUCCGAGUUCCCUGGAACGGGACGCCGCAGAGGGUGAGAGCCCCGUACGGUCGGACGCCGAGCCUCUGUAAAGCUCCUUCGACGAGUCGAGUAGUUUGGGAAUGCUGCUCAAAAUGGGAGGUAAACCCCUUCUAAAGCUAAAUACCGGCCAGAGACCGAUAGCGCACAAGUAGAGUGAUCGAAAGAUGAAAAGCACUUUGAAAAGAGAGUUAAAAAGCACGUGAAAUUGUUAAAAGGGAAGCGCUUGCGACCAGACUUGCGCCCGUCGGAUCAACCGUCGCUUGCGGCGGCGCACUCCGGCGGGCUCAGGCCAGCAUCAGUUCGCCUGGGGGGAGAAAGGCGGCGGGAAUGUGGCUCUUCGGAGUGUUAUAGCCCGCCGUGUAAUACCCUCGGGUGGACUGAGGACCGCGCGUAUGCAAGGAUGCUGGCGUAAUGGUCGUCAGCGACCCGUCUUGAAACACGGACCAAGGAGUCGUCCUAAUAUGCGAGUGUACGGGUGUCAAACCCCUGCGCGUAAUGAAAGUGAACGGAGGUGAGAGCUUCGGCGCAUCAUCGACCGAUCCUGAUGUUAUCGGAUGGAUUUGAGUAAGAGCAUAUUGGGCCGGACCCGAAAGAAGGUGAACUAUGCCUGUGUAGGGUAAAGCCAGAGGAAACUCUGGUGGAGGCUCGCAGCGGUUCUGACGUGCAAAUCGAUCGUCAAACAUGGGCAUGGGGGCGAAAGACUAAUCGAACCUUCUAGUAGCUGGUUUCCGCCGA
Molecule: ribosomal RNA, 898 nt
Filed under: Scopulariopsis candida
Lineage: Eukaryota; Fungi; Ascomycota; Sordariomycetes; Microascales; Microascaceae
Description: LSU rRNA
Rfam family: Eukaryotic large subunit ribosomal RNA
Source: RNAcentral